UUAAGCCCAGAUGUAGGAAAAAGUCCAUCCUCCAGUCCUAGCAAAUUAAAAUCAGUUAGCCAUUUUUUUGGGACCAAUGCAGCAGCACAGUCCUAUUUGCCACAGUUCAGCACUCAUGCAGAAGCUCUCAUUUGUCUUCUGGCUGUCCCCAGGAGCCCUACAAGAGGGAAGACUCUAAAGGCAGGUGUUGGUGAUGGGUACAAUCUCACUGUGACCUACCUGCAUGCAAUAUGGCAUCAAUCUUCCUUCUGAACUUGAACCUGAAAUUGAACUGGAAGUAGAAUGAAUGUUUCGGAGUCCUGCGGCACAGACCUUGAAAUGGAAAUUACUACUGCAGAGAAAUGAGGCAUUACAAACCAGGGAACUUGGACAGAUUUACCAGUUCUCAGUUAGGGUUUUCAUAAAAACACAGGAUUUGUCAUUCUGUAUUGGACCAUCAGUCUCUUAAUCUGCUGUACUGCUAAAAGUGGCAACCAAUAAGUGAUGAUUCAGAGAAGGUGAAAAUAACCCACAAUUCUUUUGGUCACUUAUACAAUGCUUCAGUCAAAUUUCUUCCUAUUCCCUCAUGGAAUUAGCUACUGUUAAUGUUUUUCUCUUUUUGUAAAGCUAGUGAGCACAAGUCCAUUUUAUUGAUCUCCAGAAGAAAGCAAUAAAUUCACUGGAAUGAAAACUAAAUUCCAACAUUUUUUGUUCUGUCAACUGGGAAUUACAAGAUUUAGGUUAGAUAUCUCAGCUGAUACAAAUCAUUGUGCAUCACUCAAGUCAACAAAGUCAUCCUAGUUUAUGCCAAACCAGGCUUUGCUUCAGUAUCUAUUGACCAGUAAAUUCUAAUAAACAAACUGACUAGCUAUAAUCAUAAUGGAAUAUUUAACAUUAAUGAAUAAAAAAGCCAUCAUUAUUUUACAU
Alligator mississippiensis (American alligator) is the source of this 906-nucleotide long non-coding RNA. RefSeq lists it as uncharacterized. NCBI's taxonomy places the organism in Eukaryota, Metazoa, Chordata, Crocodylia, Alligatoridae. The record is from RefSeq and is a predicted model, not a curated record. The transcript is spliced from 3 exons.